RNAcentral lists this long non-coding RNA (244 nucleotides) under Elaeis guineensis (African oil palm). Its description in RNAcentral is "long non-coding RNA (EGUI_LNC081309)". Lineage: Eukaryota; Viridiplantae; Streptophyta; Magnoliopsida; Arecales; Arecaceae. The record is from RNAcentral.
GGUAAACCCUAUACUAGGAUAAUCUUAUAUCAGCAUAAAAUUAUUUUUAAAUCAUUAAAACUUUUAGAUCUAAUCUAAAAAUCAGAUCGUAUAUAUUUUCAAAAAUUUGUGGCUCUGAUACCACUGUUAGAAAAUUGGGUAGGCAGCAUGUAUAGAUUUCAAAACUUUUAAAAUAUACAGUGAAAAACAAAACAGGUUAAACCCUUUAACCCUACAUACAAGAAAUCAAAUCUAAUCCUACCCA